GUACGAUCGGACGGUUUUGAGAG
RNAcentral lists this microRNA (23 nucleotides) under Cordylochernes scorpioides. The record is from RNAcentral. Lineage: Eukaryota; Metazoa; Arthropoda; Arachnida; Pseudoscorpiones; Chernetidae.